AUUGAACGCUGGCGGCGUGCUUAACACAUGCAAGUCGUGCGGUAACAGGCGUAGCAAUACGUGCUGACGAGCGGCGAACGGGUGCGUAAUACAUGGGAAUCUGCCUUUUAGUGGGGAAUAACCCGGCGAAAGCCGGGCUAAUGCCGCAUAAGAUCUUCGGAUGAAAGCGGGGGAUCGUAAGACCUCGCGCUGAUAGAUGAGCCCAUGCCGGAUUAGCAGUUGGUGAGGUAACGGCUCACCAAGGCGACGAUCCGUAGCUGGUCUGAGAGGACGGCCAGCCACACUGGGACUGAGACACGGCCCAGACUCCUACGGGAGGCAGCAGUGGGGAAUAUUGGACAAGUGGGGAAACCCUGAUCCAGCGACGCCGCGUGUGUGAAGAAGGCCUGCGGGUUGU
Molecule: ribosomal RNA, 397 nt
Filed under: uncultured bacterium
Lineage: Bacteria
Description: bacterial SSU rRNA
Rfam family: Bacterial small subunit ribosomal RNA
Source: RNAcentral